UAGUCCACGCAGUAAACGAUGAAUACUCGCUGUCCGGGGAGGUUGGUCUCUGGGCGGCCAAGCGAAAGCGUUAAGUAUUCCACCUGGGGAGUACGCCGGCAACGGUGAAACUCAAAGGAAUUGACGGGGGCCCGCACAAGCGGAGGAACAUGUGGUAUAAAUCGAUGAUACGCGAGGAACCUUACCCGGGCUCAAACGACGGAUGAAUACUUUUAAAAGGAGGUAGUCCUUCGGGACAUCCGUCGAGGUGCUGCAUGGUUGUCGUCAGCUCGUGCCGUGAGGUGUCGGCUUAAGUGCCAUAACGAGCGCAACCCCCAUCGCCAGUUGCCAACAGGUAAAGCUGGGAACUCUGGCGAGACUGCCGGCGCAAGCUGUGAGGAAGGCGGGGAUGACGUCAAAUCAGCACGGCCCUUACGUCCGGGGCGACACACGUGUUACAAUGGCAGGUACAGAGAGAUGCGACACGGCGACGUGGAGCGGAACUGUCAAAACCUGUCUCAGUUCGGAUCGGAGUCUACAGCCCGACUCCGUGAAGCUGGAUUCGCUAGUAAU
This 552-nucleotide ribosomal RNA is filed under the name uncultured bacterium. RNAcentral's name for it is "bacterial SSU rRNA". It matches the Rfam family "Bacterial small subunit ribosomal RNA", at positions 791 to 1342 of the family's 1533-position model. The record is from RNAcentral.